AAAAACCAAAAACCCACUUCUCCGCAACUCUUCCACAAACAACUCUUCCAUGAACAAACACCUAGCUCCGACUCCUCCUUCGCGACUCUUCCGUGAAAGAUUCUCCUCGUCGCUCUCGCCACUCUUGCAGCUUUGCUGGUAAAGUGCCAACACAUCGACUUUUUGGUGCUUCCUUCGGAGGCUCCUCCACCACAUCAAUUCCCUUCUCUCCUUACAUUUCCCACCGCCGAUUCGUCAGAUUCAAGGCCUCCCCUGCUCACGUUAGCCUCCGCCAUCACUUCUUCAGCACCCUGCAGGCUAUCCCCACCUUCACAGCAGCCAACAGAGAUGGAUCACUUGACGAUCUUGAUAGCUGUAGCGAUUGCCGCAAGCAAAGGUUCUCCAUUUUAAAAGCUCUAUUCGGGCACAACACACCGGAGAAGGCGAAUCCCGAUUUGGGGGAUUCUGCUGUCCUGGCCUCGGGCUUAUGGAUCUCAGCGCUGAUCCACGACCAGAGUAAGAAAAAAUACAAGAAGAAGUCAGAGGAGGAUGUGCCUCCAUCACGGCGUCCACAGUGGUCAUUUCGCGCUUCGGAAUAUGAGAAUGGCUUCAGUGACUUUGGCGAAGAGUACCCCAUCACCUCUUCUCGGCAACAUUAGAAUAUGUCAUAAACAUAAUAUGCAUGGAGGGACCAUUGGUGAUGUGUAGUUAGAUCUAGAGGUCUAGCAGAGAUUUAGGGGAUCUUAGUUGAGGUGGGUUUGGGUUGCCAUGGGAUCCCAAUGUAGGCAUUCAAUUUUCAUUUCCAUAGGGAGCUACAACUCACGAGUGCUACAUUCCUAAAGGUCUUUAUAUGUGAGAGUGAGCCCCUCUAAAAUGGACACUUCUCAGCAUUACCUACCUCUACCAGUAAUGGAAGUUGUUAUUGAUUCAAUGACCUAUAGUAAGUUGAAUGUGCUUCACUGGCACAUUGUGGAUGAGCAAUCCUUCCCCUUGGAGAUACCAUCAUUUCCAAGAUUGUGGUUUGACUCAUACUCUUAUUCCAAGCAAUACACUGUGGCCAAUGAUCUUGAAAUUGUACACACAAAGAAGGGGAAUAAAUGUCUUAGCUAAGAUUGAUGUUCCAGGCCAUUCUCACUCCUGGUUGACGGAUAUCCUGAUUUUUGGCUAUCAUCAGAAUACAAUCAGCCUCUUGAUGUUAGUAAGGAAUUCACAUUCGAAGUAAUAGAAGGAAUUCUUUCUGGUAAAAUUCAUUUCCUCGUUAGUAUCUAUUUUUUAUGCAUUAAGGUUAGAGAACUUUAUGUAAUAACUUGGCCUCACAUAACAGAAAUAUGUUCAGAGUUUUCAUAUAGAUAUUUGCAUCCAUAUGAAACAAUAUUAUCAAAAGGUAUGUGACAUUGCCUUAGAGAUUGCCUCGAGAAGAAAUAAUUGAGUAUCUGACUAACUCUAGGCAUUAAAACCAUGAAAGGUGAGUGAGUUCAAUCAAGCAUAGCUGAGAAGAGUUCCUUGCAAGAAACACUACAUGAACCCUUCAUUGCUUAGACAGCCACCUUUGCAAAAAGAACUCAUCACAUAGACUACUAAGUUUCUCUCUUAAAGUAGUAGGCAUGACCAAAAAGUGUUUUGUUUUUCUUCUCUAUUGCACCUUUCUAGUUUUCAAAUUCUAUGUUGGUCGAGGUUCGCAUUGUCUCGUUAUUGACUCACAAACAAGGAGAUAGUUGGGGUUUGGUUGAUUUAUUGGUAAGAUUGGACUCUAGGUGGAGAAGGCUACUUCUGACCUGAAGAAUACUAAUAACAAGCUUGAGCACACUGUUAAUUACUCGGGUUCCUACUAAUUCUAGUUUGAGUAAACAUUAUCUAUACUUUACGAGAGAUUUUUAUUCGACAACCUAUAGCUAAGAAUUUCUAACAAAUAAUUGUGGUUUUUCAUUUUUUAACUUAGAUCCAGUCGCAACUAUUGCAUUGAUAUAAUCUUUCUAUGUAUUAUUCUUGGUAUUGCUGCAUAUCGUCAUUGUAGCUUGCACUAACGUAACAAGGCUUCUGCUUCUCGACUCCGACUCCAUGGCUUGCCGGCGGCAUAUGCUUCUCAAAGUCAUCAUCCUUGUGGACAAAGGGUAGAUUUCCAUCUCAUUCAAGAGCAAAAAGUACCGUGCAUAUAGACACACACAUUUCGAUGUUGGGAAGAUAUCAUUGAUGAAUAGUAUGCUCUAAACUAUUUUAUGUAUUUUUUAGCUUACUUUUGUCCAGAGAGUUAGUUCCUUUGGUGAAAUUAUACAUCUAUGAUGCUUAA
Zingiber officinale is the source of this 2266-nucleotide RNA transcript. It is a transcript of the gene named beta-hexosaminidase 3-like, with no coding region annotated. The record is from RefSeq and is a predicted model, not a curated record. The transcript is spliced from 5 exons. Lineage: Eukaryota; Viridiplantae; Streptophyta; Magnoliopsida; Zingiberales; Zingiberaceae.